CCUGUAUCUUGUGAAAGGUGUUCCUCCUGCACUGCGGUGACCUGAUCCGAACAAACCUUUCACUCUGACAGUCGACGAACGUGACGGAGAGGAACACAAGCGUCUGGCUGAGCUCCAGACUCAAUGCACACCUUGACCUGGACCUUCAGGACACACCAGGGUCCAGCAGCGACAUGGUGAUGCAUGUGGACGGAUCUGCUUCACGGGAUCCACUGACUGGGACUAAUCUUCUUGGUUUUGCUGUAAUUUCUGAUUUAGCUGUGCGUUGAUCUGGACCCCCACCCCCGACCCAGACAGCCAAGCUCAUGCCACUCACUGGCAAACUGGAUGAGGGUAAAACAGUCAGCAUUCACACAGAUUCGAGGCUGCCAUCAGGUCAUAUUUCCCAUCACGCCGUCGCCUCUUGUUGGAACAUGCUGCUGUCAGAUUGUCAGAUUCAUCACAAGUUUAAACAGAUAUGGAGCUGGCUGCAGGUGAGAGGAACUACACCUUGUUCGCUGAGUCCCAGUUUGUCUAAUCUUCACGUUUCGUCAGCCAACACGGAUGAAAACCCCCGGUGUGUGUGUGUGUGUGUGUCUGUUACUCCUGCCCGUCGCCAAAAACACAAAACACUGUACAUGCUGGUCGGAGGAAAGAGGGAAGGAUACCACACGGGGGGUGUGGUUGAGUUUAUGAAAUUACAGUGUUUCUAGUAGCUCUGCACCGGGCUGUGUAAUACGACACUGUGGCUUUCCCUUUAUAAAAUUGCACGUUCAGUGAGGCCACCACGAGCAGAACUAUGGACCCCGAGACUGGAACAAAAGGGGGAGGCUCCGGCCUUAGUUCUUCAUCGUAAGCCUUCGUCUUGUCACUGAUGGACAGAUUGAAUGGCCGAGCGUCCGCGACCACUUUAAAGUGCCAUACAAG
Molecule: long non-coding RNA, 906 nt
Organism: Gasterosteus aculeatus aculeatus (three-spined stickleback)
Lineage: Eukaryota; Metazoa; Chordata; Actinopteri; Perciformes; Gasterosteidae
Source: Ensembl